Lolium perenne is the source of this 580-nucleotide long non-coding RNA. RefSeq lists it as uncharacterized. The record is from RefSeq and is a predicted model, not a curated record. Lineage: Eukaryota; Viridiplantae; Streptophyta; Magnoliopsida; Poales; Poaceae.
UCGCGGGCGAAACCGCGGCGCGGAAUUCGUCCGCCAAAAAAUUGGCAGCCAAAUCUGGCGUGAGCAGGCCACGGAGGUAUAAAAAGGUUCGUCCUCUUUUUUUCCGUCCACUUCACUUUCCUCUUCGCAUCUCACCUACAUGCGCACACAAGAACCAGAGGAGGCCGGACGGCACGAUCUGCAGGCUGCAGCUAUCUCCUAGUCGCCGGUUCCUGCAUCAAUCCGAGCUGCUCCGCCGGCCGCCGGUGCUGCUUCACUUCUUGGAUCAAUCUGUCCAUCAACGUACAUCAAGAUGGACAUGGACCAGCAAAGAUAUUAUGUGUACACCAUGUUGAGGCGGAGGACUCUAUCUGUCAUUGUCCUUCUCUUGGCUUUGUGGUAUAGAAACAGGGAUGGUAGAAAAAGAAGAGGUAGAGGUCAAAAGUAUGGUCCACUAGUUGAGAGAGACCUCUACAAAACUAAUGUGUGAUUAGGCUUAUUAACACAUCAGUUGCAACAUGCAUCAAGCAACUGAGGAUGUCUCGAUCUGUAUUUUACAAGCUAUGCAAUAGGCUGAGGCAGAAGGAGCUGUUAAUUGACA